UACGUAGGGUGCAAGCGUUAAUCGGAAUUACUGGGCGUAAAGCGUGCGCAGGCGGUUUUGUAAGUCUGUCGUGAAAUCCCCGGGCUUAACCUGGGAAUGGCGAUGGUGACUGCAAGGCUAGAGUUUGGCAGAGGGGGGUAGAAUUCCACGUGUAGCAGUGAAAUGCGUAGAGAUGUGGAGGAACACCGAUGGCGAAGGCAGCCCCCUGGGUCAAAACUGACGCUCAUGCACGAAAGCGUGGGGAGCAAACAGG
Molecule: ribosomal RNA, 253 nt
Filed under: uncultured bacterium
Lineage: Bacteria
Description: partial 16S ribosomal RNA
Rfam family: Bacterial small subunit ribosomal RNA
Source: RNAcentral